This 256-nucleotide ribosomal RNA is filed under the name uncultured bacterium. RNAcentral's name for it is "partial 16S ribosomal RNA". It matches the Rfam family "Bacterial small subunit ribosomal RNA", at positions 524 to 776 of the family's 1533-position model. The record is from RNAcentral.
GACGUAGGGGGCAAGCGUUGUCCGGAAUUAUUGGGCGUAAAGCGCUCGUAGGCGGAUCGGUAAGUCUGUGAAGAAAGACCCGGGCUCAACUCGGGGAACGGCAUAGAUACUGCUGAUCUUGAGACAGUCAGAGGAUGAUGGAAUUCCAGGUGUAGCGGUGAAAUGCGUAGAGAUAGGGAGGAACAUCAAGAACGGCGAAGGCAGUUAACUAGUCUGUUACUGACAUUGAGGCACGAAAGCGUAGGGAGCAAAACGG